CCUACCGGAAAAGAGAAGUACGUUUCGUAAGUCACAGACGCCUCACCUAACUCCGAGCUCUUCCCCUUGAUGCAUCCCGCGCCGAGCGGGAACCGCGACAGCUACGUCCCAACGGGCAUUCGCAAAGCGCUCACCUAGUCCCGGCUCGUUCGACAAAACUAAGCUUCGGCUUGCCUCCGAAGGAAAACCCGGAGCCUCCCACCGCCGCAGAGGCGCCCCGGGCCGGCGGGGGGCAGCUCCCGGGGCGGGGGUCCCAACGCCUCCCUCACACCGCGGCCCGGCCGAGGCUUCCCGCGGCUGCGCCAGCACCGCCCGCAGACCUCGGGGUAGGGAGCGUCGCCGGGCGGGCGCGGGGGAGAAGCGAGCACAGCCGCCAGAGGUGAGGGGCGGGAGGGACGGACGGGUGGACCGAGGGGCCGCAGCUCAACUCGCCGAGCGGGAGCCCGGCGUUUUAAUCCCAUCGCCGUUAGGCAGGAUUAAGAGUUCUUGCUUACUUGAGCUAGUUUACCAAGCUUUUGCUUCACUUACAAAACUGAAGUUUUUUCGACCAGCGAGCGGCUUUCGCUUCAAAAACUGGAAGUUCACUUAUUACAUCUGCCUGAAGGAGAACAGUCAGUACCUCCAUGUCAGCCGGCUGGCCACCACGACGGCAGAAGGAGGAGGCCGAGCCCUGGGGAGACCCCACUGCAAAUACACGUACCCCGAGCCGGCCACUCUCACACCGCCCGCUGCACAGCUCACCUCCCCCCUUCCCCACGUCCAAAAAACCCGCCACCCCCUCAAACCCACAGGGCGAAGCAGGCACGAGUGCACCAGCAGGAAAGGGCGCUCCGAAGCAGGGCGGUAGUUGAGACCAUGCCAUGAGAUCCCUCAAGCGUGUCAUGUCUGAAAGCCAUUGCUCUUGGGACCAUGUGGUGACAAAAAUCUCACUUUUCUUCAAAGCAAGGUGCAGUUUUAGCUCUUCUAAGUGGGAAGACCAGCCUGGAAGAUUUAGAGAAUCCAGGCAGAGAGCAGGUGAACAGAAACUGUAAUUAUUACUAGAACCAGGAAUUGCUACGGCUCUCAUCAUCUCUGCUGUCAUAUUAACAUUGCUUAACUUGUACACAGUGAUUAAUGCGAUUUUGUUUUUAACCGAACACAUUUUGGAGGCUCAAUAUUUCCACGUAUGCAAGGAAGGGAGGCCCACUGCCAAGGCGGCUGUGUCUGGUGAUGCCAUGGUGAGGAAAGGGAAGGAGCGGUGGACGACUGGGACGUUUCCCCUCACCGCAACGUGCACAGGGGCAGACUGGCAGGCAGAAAGGCGACGAUUCGGGAGCCACCCAGCAUCCUGCCCCAGGAGUGGCGACCUGCCCACAGGGUGGAGUGGCAGCCGGGCUCUUCACCCAGCUUCAGUGGCGGCUCUGUGUGAGUCACGGACCCGUAGCAAUUUUAGCAGCAACUGCAGUUUGCCUUCAACUGCGAUUUUCCCAAUAUUGGCACUUGGGUUUUUUAUUUCUGAACCCUGCACUUAAAAGGUGUGGAGUCUUUCACAUGGUGGAUGUUUCAACAUAACAGAUUACUUCUGUUUUGGUGCUCUCGCUUGGGAGCUACAUUAAGCCAUGCGGUGUGCCUCAGGCUCGCUUUCCUCAGAGGAAAUGUGUCGGCUACCUCCUGAAGCCCAAGUAAGCCCCUAGUGACUCUCAGCCUCUCCUCAGAGGUUUGAGCACUGACCUCCAAAACUGUGUGCCCAGCAUACUGACCUCCACCAUUCCUUGCUACCGAACGUGUAACUCAACCUACAAUUACUUUUCCUUCAGCAAAGCAGCAAAGGGACAUGGAGAAACCAGGAGAGAAACUGGGUAUUUUUAUUGCUUAGGAGAUCUGGCUCAGCAACAAAUUGCAGCGCAAAGCCCUUUUGUAACACGCACGAAGGUCUUGCUGCUCCUCUUCCUCAGUGAGAAAGAGCAGAGUGAGCUCUGCUGUGAUAUUCUGACUGUGAAAUUUUAACUUGGCAAUAUUAGAGCGUGGGUAAGCAGCUGGGAUUUCAGACUGUCCGGUAUCCCACUGAUUUCAUCAGCUCCCAUCUCCAUCCAUCUGUUAUCCCUGGUCGUGUACUUGUGCAGGCUCCCUGGGACAGGGGCUGUCAGUUCUCUGCAUGGCUGUGCAGCGCCCAGCUGUGCAGUGCCCAGCUUUCCCACCGCGGCACAAGCAGCUGCCUCCCUGCAGGCGGGCGGGAGCAGGCGCUGCUGCAGGCCCCUGCCACGGGGGUCAAGAAGUGACACUUCACAAGUUCUAGUGUUGGGAAGUAGUAGUAAAAAAAAAAAAAAAAAAGGUGUACUUUUAUUUCUUGAUUAUAAGGUCAAUUCAUUACAGUUAAUUUAUCUAUUUGGUUUUUGGUUUGUGAAAUAUGAAGCCUGUUAGUUAACCUCUCUGCCUGUUUUAAAGAUUAGAAUGCAGUUCAUCACAACUUUAAUAUUGGUGCAACAGCCAAAAGUUUGUCAAUUGCCCAUUGAAUCAUGUGUCAUUCACACUUAAAAAGCAACAAAACUAAACAGGCUCUCAGCCCUCGCAGAGGCCUGAGUAAACAGACGGGCCUUGCUACAUGCCCUGCUAAUGGUUUCACAAGGGUUAAUGUAACAGUGCUUCUGUCUUAACUACACAGAUGCUUCCCCACGUUGCAGGCAGGAAAGCAAAUGUCUCUCGCUGUUGGUGUUUGGAGCAUUCAUCUGCUGUCAUCCUUCUCUGUCACGGGUCUUGGGCCAGUCCCUGUGUCUGGUUUGGAUAAGAUGAGCACCGUGUUUUGUGAGUAAGGCAUGCAGAUCUGGUCACUUGCUAGCAGAGUGCCAACCUGAUAAAUCCAUUAUUCAUUGAUAGUAUGUUUUGUAAUUUGCAAAAUGACAAAUCUUUUUUUUUUUUUUUUUAAGCAGGAUGAUAUUGCAGUGACACUCUGUUCUUUUAUUACAUUAUGUCCCCCAACACCAGCUGCUUUACAGCCUGCUCUGGACAAACAAAAUGGGGCUGCCAGGGGAAGGCGGCAUGUCUCCAGUUUCUCAAAGGGAUUCAUAGCCAAGUUCCUUACCUGAGCUACUCUCUCCCAGCCCAAAUUGCAAGUGUUCUUUUGAGUUGUUUUUUCCGCAUGAUUGUGUCAUCUCAAUCUCAUCUUCAUUUGAGAUUAGAUUAACUACUAGUCAAUUGGCAUGAUGCAGUUAGAAGUUCUGUUUGAAGAACAAGGUGUUUUUGUUAAAAAAAUACUCAUUGCCAAAAGAAAUUU
This is a non-coding RNA of Phalacrocorax carbo (great cormorant), 3250 nucleotides long. The record is from RefSeq and is a predicted model, not a curated record. Lineage: Eukaryota; Metazoa; Chordata; Aves; Suliformes; Phalacrocoracidae.